Molecule: long non-coding RNA, 1986 nt
Organism: Schistocerca piceifrons (Central American locust)
Lineage: Eukaryota; Metazoa; Arthropoda; Insecta; Orthoptera; Acrididae
Exons: 3
Source: RefSeq, a predicted model, not a curated record
UGUGCCUAUGAUGUACAUAAAUAAUUAGCAUGGUUUAUUUCACAUGCAAUAAAAAUACAGUAAAAAAUCGUGUGAGAGCUAAAGCUGUGGUUCAUCCAUAAAAAUGUUCUCAAAAGAUGUUUUAAAAGAUGGCAAGCAUUGUAUAGCCUUGUAAAUAUUAUUCUUUGAGUUAUACUGUUUAGAAAACUGUCAAUUUUUUCAAGGUUUCCCCUUUUAUUCAUGGAUCAGUCCCCUUCAGGUUUCAUAGCGUGAGCUCGGAUUUUGUAGCAUAUGUUUUUGCAAAAAUAUUUUGUAGUAUCAAGUCACUGUGUGUUCAGAUUUAGAAGUAUACAUUCGUAAAAAGGUGUCACAGUAUCAAAGUACUGCGUGCUCAGGUUUCGCAGUAUAUUUUAGUAGAAAGGUUUAGUAGUAUCAAAUCAUUGUGUGUUCGGAUUUCAUAGGUUUCGUAGUAUUUGUUCAGGUUUCAUAGCAUUUGUUCAGAUCUCGGUGUUAAUUUUUUUUCCUACUUGUUUCAGCAUACAUCCACCAAAUCGUGGAUCAGAUGGCAGCUGAGAAGGAACAGCAGCAGCAGCUUCAGAUACAUUUUCUUUAUCAUAGUACUGUGUAGCUGUUAGACAUAUUAUCGUGUCUGCUUAAAAAAAUUCAUCACAUACAUAAUAUGAUGUCUGAAGCAUAUUCUUCGUUAUUGUUGUAGAUGAUUUCAAGGAGUAGGAGCAGGAAUGGGCAGAGGUUGUGGCGCCAUAUGAGUCACUGCUAUCAAACCUCGAGCGAUGGAUCCACAGUGGUUUGGGCAAGGAGAUGCUUGAGUUGGUGGAGGAGAUGCAGAAGGAGCUACGUCGAAAUGGGGAGAUGCCAGAAGACCUGAAGGAUACCGCACAGAGCCUGACAGAGAUAGAACCAUUGUUCAUGUAGUAUACAAUGGCGCAAGUACCGAGGGCGGUGAAGGUAGAACUGUAGAAGAGGUUCUGAGUGGCAUGCUGCACCAUGUACAAUGAGCCUCAUCAGUGCACAGGAAGCUGCUGCUGCCCCAGCAGUCACAGCCAAAGUCGCCACUGCCUCCGCCCCUGUCUCCACCACCGUCACACCAACCUUUUUCUGGAGUCCAUGAGCCAUCCUCCUUCCAGCAUCUGGCUCAUUUGACUUGCAUUUCUCCAGGCCAUAAACAUGAAGCAAUGUUCUGGUACUCCGUGCCUCAAAUUCAGAACAGCAGAACAAGCAGGAUAAACAUACUGUCGUCAGACCCUCCAUUUCUCAAAAUUUUUCAGUAAGUGUAAGUGCAUGUGAACGCUUUGUUAUUCUUAGCUGAGGAAAUUAAGGAGAAAGGCAAUUAUCAUUUUGUUUGUAUCUAGGACCUGACUCCUUACCUCCCAACUAAGUAAAUGUAAGGAUAUACAGCAUAUUGGAUUAAGGUGUCCCAAUGUCUUUUCGCCAGAAAAGUUAUUAGGAAACUAUCUAGUAGACUGCACUUCAAACAAUUCAGUACGUGUUAUGCCUAUUGAAGAAAACAUAUUCGUAAAGCUUAAGAAUAUUCACCAUCAGGAGCGUUACCCAUUUGUGGUGUAUGCCAACUUGGAAUGCCUCCUCGUUCUUGUGACCCACUAUAAAGGUGACCCUACAUAUUAUCUUUACGGGAAAACACGUACACUGUGCUGCAAUCUAAAGUCGACCUGUCGCCUCAUGACGAUAGUCGCCUCAUGACGAUAAAAGGGUCAUUUGUGAUUACAGGAAUGAAAUUCUCCCAUACUCAAACUAUUCGCAUUUUGAGAGAGCGUAGGUGAAAAGACUCUGACGGAAUGAGAGGACGAGAAUGAGAUUGGGUGAUACUGCAGAAUAAUAUGAUCCUUUUAUCAUAGUGUAAGUAAUUUUGUGUGUAUAUGUGUGAUGUAAAUAUUUAUUUAUUCAUGGAAAGCAUGUGUGUGAGGAAUGUGUGCUGUGUGCACUUGUAAAAACAUAUAUCUUGCAAGGGAAAUCUACACAUCAUGCUGA